UCUCAUCAGCUGUGACCACAUGACGUAGUGAAGCAGACGCACGGACGCUCGGUCUCCGCGGUUUUCCCACCGGUUCAUUUCAUGACUUUUAUGCACAUUUUAUUGAUUCGGAGCAACUGCAGUAAAAGCAUUUUUUUUAUUUUUUUUUAAAAUGACCCCGUCAAAUGAACAGAUUCUUUGACAAACCAAUGAAUUUUCAUCCUUGCUAUGACGAAUGCAACCGCUCAGGAAAUUCACAGACGACAUUUUGCAACUGAAGCAGGAGAUUGGGCCAGGGACAGCCAGGAGGGGAGGAAGUAAAGGGUAAAUGUGUGUGGGAAGAGAGCUGGUGAGGAAGUCACUGCCCCCCUAUACCCAAUAUGUGCCCACCCCACCCUCACACAUCCACUGGAGGGAGAAGAGGAGGCUAUGCUAGACCACAGACCACCCAGAGAGAGGGACACAGACAUGGAGACAGACAGACAUAAUAUCGACAUAUAGUCAGGCGGCACGAGAGCAAAUGAAGAUGUAAUGAGCGACAGAUUAAACACGAAGGGAGAGAGAAAUAGGACGCUCGACGGAAUGAAAAGGAAGAAAAACAGAGGAACGGAAAGAAUUUAAAAAAGACAAAAGAGGAAGCAAGAAAAGAAAAAAAUACAGUCAGUCGACGGUGGUUCCUUCAUGCGGCAAGUGAGACUUUUUUCCUUCUUUGGACCUAAACGUCUUACUUUUUUUCAGUGACGCUUUGCACGUCUGUUCACUCCAUAUGUGUGCAAGUUUCAUGCCCCCAUAAAAAAAAAGAAAAAGAAGGUGUGCGGUGAAAAGCCAGCAGUCACCGAAAGUGGCGAGACGCCGCAGUCAUUUAAAUGUAGCCGCACUUCAGACGGUCUUUCCUGGGGGAAGACUGUCUCCACCCACUCAAUUAAAAUGUCAUGCUUAAUACAGUAAUGCAAACAUGAGUUAGAAAUUGGUCAAGCUGUCUUAUCUCGCAGUGACUCGUCACUCCAUGAUUCCCAUUACUCUCGAUACAGGCUACAUCCACAAACUACGUUGUUGCUGUACGACUCGUCACUGCUGCUGCGUUUUCGAGUGUCCGAGGGCCUAAAACUGAGAAGUUUGGAAACGCCGCUCGUCUCGGUUUAUUUCAAAAACUCUGGGGCCGCGUUAUGGUAUGGACGGAUAUUCCCUUCCUGAUUAUCUACUCUGCAGUUGGUGACUUUUAUGAACCAAUCGGCUUCCUUACACAGCACAUGGUCAGCGAAUGUGAACGAUCACGAGAUAUAUGUCUUCAGGCGUGUUCGAAUGAACCAGGAUUAAUUCUGAUAUGGAGCUCAGUGUUGUAGUCGAGACCACUUAAACCGAGAUCAAGACAAGUCAGGUUAUCAAUUUUACGUGAAAGAUCCACAUGAUCAUAAAAAGACCCACAUACAAACGAUAGAAAAUCAAUGUCACCAUUUUAAUUCAACAGGUGAUAUUUUAUUGAUGUAUUAUUUUCUUGUCAGAAUGCAUCAAGCAUUUAUUCAAUUUAACAUUUUCAAACUGUCAUACACAAACAAGCACACACUCAAAGAAUGAAUGGCAAAUCUCUCUCUUGCAUGUGCGCAAGCACACUGGCCCACGCACUCAGACUGUGUAAACUAUAUUAUAUAUUCACCAAUCAUACAGUCUCUUACUCUCACAUGCGUGCACGAGCGCAGCCGCGCGGUUUGAAGUAGUAGCAGCCGUGAAAGCUUGGUGAGUGCGCCAGAGUACCACCAGUCACUUUACUGGUUGGCAUCCAAUCAAUUAAUAAUUGCAUGAACAAGCAAAUCAGACAAUGCACUAGCAAUUUAGCGAUAUCCCCACGGUUGUGGUCCCGACCGGUCUUGACAUAAAAUCUCGAGACCUCUAGGUCCGAGGCCGAGACAAGACCGAGUAAAAAUGCAGUCGAUUCCGAGACAAGACCGAGACCUUUAAAAAGUGGUCUACUACAACACCAAUGGAGCUGAAAGCUAAAAACAACGUAUUAGUAUGGAUGUAGCCAAACUGAACUGGACGAGUUCCCCCCUCAGUCGACGAGAGCGUCAACCUGCUCUCUGGGAUUAAAAUAAAUCAUUGUGCAGCGUUCAAGUCGACCUGAUCGAUGAUGCUGCAGAUGUCUGCGACAAAAAAAUGAUCUUCUGUCAGUUUCCUGAAAAAGUUGCUUGAUCGAAGGCACAGUCAAAUAUGAUUAGGGUCAUCCCUGGUGAACAUAAUAUUACCUGUAAUUCUCAAGGUCAUAGAGGUGCUUUACACUCAAAGGAGUGGGAUGUCGCUGGACUGCGCGUGAAGUUUGUUCAUACCAAAGUCACGUGUACGAGUCACAUACACGAGGAACAUAUCUGUUCACGUUAGCCGCUCUUGAAUGAGACCUACGGAGACAGCAUGUAGAAACCAAAAAACGAUGAAAGAAGAAGAUCUAAAGGGCGGAAUAAGUUGACGCCAUGAAGGAAAUUCAACUUACAGACGAGCAGUCUGUCAGAAUGAAUGGAGGGAUCAGUGCUGUGACUUUGUUUCCAUGUGCUGUUGGUCCCAGAAGGAAAGAAAAAGAAAAAGCCUCUGUGCUGUUGUCUUUUAUUUCAAACAUGUCCAGAAACAAUGGAUGCCUGUCUGCCCAUGAGGCUUCUAUUCUCAAAGAACAGACAGAACUUCAGGAAGGAGGACGAGACCACUCCGCUCCGCUGCCACCUCCUGCCACUGAGAAUAAUAAGCACAAGGACACAUGACGUCACAUAACAUGCUCGCUCUCAUAAUCACAAAAUUCCGUACAGUUUUUUUUAAGGACUCAAUAACACAAAGAAUCUGUGGCAAGAUGAAGAUUUAUUCCAUGUAGUAUUAAAGAAUAUGUGCUUGACGUGUUCA
This is a long non-coding RNA of Scophthalmus maximus (turbot), 2859 nucleotides long. RefSeq lists it as uncharacterized. The transcript is spliced from 2 exons. The record is from RefSeq and is a predicted model, not a curated record. Lineage: Eukaryota; Metazoa; Chordata; Actinopteri; Pleuronectiformes; Scophthalmidae.